This 497-nucleotide ribosomal RNA is filed under the name uncultured bacterium. Its description in RNAcentral is "partial 16S ribosomal RNA". It matches the Rfam family "Bacterial small subunit ribosomal RNA", at positions 28 to 507 of the family's 1533-position model. The record is from RNAcentral.
GAUGAACGCUGGCGGCGUGCCUAAUACAUGCCAGUCGAGCGAACAGAUGAUGAGCUUGCUCCUCUGACGUUAGCGGCGGACGGGUGAGUAACACGUGUAUAACCUACCUAUAAGACUGGUAUAACUUCGGGAAACCGGAUCUAAUACCGUAUAAUCUAUUGAACCGCAUGGUUCAAUAGUGAAAGACGGUUUUGCUGUCACUUAUCGAUGGAUCCGGGCCGCUUUAGCUAGUUGGUAAGUUAACGGCUUACCAAGGCAACGAUGCGUAGCCGACCUGAGAGGGGGAUCGGCGACACGGGAGCUGAGACACGGACCAGACGCCUACGGGAGGCAGCAGUAGGGAAUGUUACGCAGUGGGGGAAAGCAUGACGGAGCAACGGCGCGUGAGUGAUGAAGGUCUUCGGAUCGUAAAACUCUGUUAUUAGGGAAGAACAAAUGUGUAAGGAACUAUGGACGUCUUGACGGUACCUAAUAAGAAAGCAACGGCUAACUACGUG